UACAGAGGGGGCAAGCGUUAUUCGGAAUUAUUGGGCGUAAAGGGCGCGUAGGCGGCCUGACAAGUGGAAGGUGAAAUCCCUCGGCUUAACCGAGGAACUGCCCUCCAAACUGUUUGGCUUGAGACCGGGAGAGGUGAGUGGAAUUCCCAGUGUAGCGGUGAAAUGCGUAGAUAUUGGGAAGAACACCGGUGGCGAAGGCGGCGAGCUGGUCCAUUACUGACGCUGAGGCGCGACAGCGUGGGGAGCAAACAGGAUUAGAAACCCGGUACGG
Molecule: ribosomal RNA, 271 nt
Filed under: uncultured bacterium
Lineage: Bacteria
Description: partial 16S ribosomal RNA
Rfam family: Bacterial small subunit ribosomal RNA
Source: RNAcentral